This 429-nucleotide ribosomal RNA is filed under the name uncultured bacterium. RNAcentral describes it as "partial 16S ribosomal RNA". It matches the Rfam family "Bacterial small subunit ribosomal RNA", at positions 338 to 795 of the family's 1533-position model. The record is from RNAcentral.
CCUACGGGGGGCUGCAGUCGAGAAUCUUCGGCAAUGGGCGAAAGCCUGACCGAGCGACGCCGCGUGCGGGAUGAAGGCCCUCGGGUUGUAAACCGCUGUCGUAGGGGAGGCCUAUCCUAGGAGGAAGUACGGGCUAAGUUCGUGCCAGCAGCCGCGGUAAUACGAACCGUACAAACGUUAUUCAGAAUCACUGGGCUUAAAGGGUGCGUAGGCGGCCAUGUAAGUGGGGUGUGAAAUCCCUCGGCUCAACCGAGGAACUGCGCUCCAUACUGCAUGGCUUGAGGGAGACAGAGGUAAGCGGAACUGAUGGUGGAGCGGUGAAAUGCGUUGAUAUCAUCAGGAACACCGGUGGCGAAAGCGGCUUACUGGUCCUUCUGACGCUGAGGUACGAAAGCUAGGGGAGGAACGGGAUUAGAUACCCUAGUAGUC